RNAcentral lists this long non-coding RNA (2212 nucleotides) under Eptatretus burgeri (inshore hagfish). Its description in RNAcentral is "lncRNA (ENSEBUG00000017278.1)". Lineage: Eukaryota; Metazoa; Chordata; Myxini; Myxiniformes; Myxinidae. The record is from RNAcentral.
CGUGUCCCAGCGAGAUGUGGGCGUGUCGGAGUCAGUAGUCGGCCGGAAAGAGAUCUCUUCAAGGCGUUGCCAUGAUGUGUGUCGUCACUGAUAUUUCCGCCAUUCUCCGCCCAUCGAAAACAAGGUUUCGUUUCCUUGUUGAAGCGACACCAUCCUUCACAAAUAUAUCAUUUAAUCAGAACGAUAAGCAAGAAUGGUAUAUUCCACCUUGCAAACUUCCCCUGCCAUAUCAUGUAUAUGGAAAGACCUUUGGAGUUGAGCAAACUUUUCUCAAGGAUUUGAAAACACAGCUUGGCAUUGAAAAAAUUGAGCUUCAAGCAGAACACGUGAAAUCUCCUCCUAUGAAAAAAGAUCUGCCUCUCCUCUUGUUCUGUGUCAAUGCAACACGCAUUGGCACUGACGCUGAGGCUGCACUUCAGUUGUUUCCCGAUCAUCAAGCAAUCCUGGUCGUGAUGAACCACCGCCCUCCACAGGUCUUCAAAUCAGAUCCCCACAGUGCCACCCACGUAUCACGAAGCAACAUUUUGAAUGUAAUUGACUGUUUUUUCUUUCAGUCAAACGGACUAUACAGCUGUGAGCAAAACAAGAAAGCUACAAGGGACGUAGCAAAUAUCAUCAGUAACUUUCUUGCAAAUAUGUACCAAUUUCUUUUAGAUUAAAAUUAAAAAUUGAGAUCUUGUAAUAGAAAUACGUUUUGUUUUGCUUUGUUGAUACUUGUCGUUCAUAACAAAGGCUAAAAUUGGAAGUGCUUCCAUAAACAAAAUUUUGAAUUCUACAACUUAGUCAAAACAAAUAAUUAUUUUGCAGCUUGUGUGUUAUCCACUUAAGCAAAUUUUUAUCGAUACAUUUUGUAACUCUGACAUUCUUUUUGCUUUCCAUAAACCUUUCGACAAAACAUUUUCUAAGUUUGGAUGGAAACGUACUGUUGCGGUUCUGCAAAAACCGCCAUGCCUCCAAGGCAAUGGCGCACAACAAACAGUGAUCCCAAGGCAGUUAUUUCAAUAGUAUGUGUAUUAUUUAUCCUUUCCAAAUGUCUAGUGGGUAAAGGAGAAAGAUGCAUUGCAUGGGACUCCUUCAAUUAGACUUCUUUGACCUUCAAUCUUUACAUUCUUUCACCCUGACUUGUGUGGGACUCCUUCAGUUAGACUUCUUAGUCCUCUUUAAUCUUCAAACCUUGCAGUUGUUCCACACAUUUGCUACACCCCUUUCUUGCACACAAAACACGCAAGCAAAUCAGUAGAGACUAAAAGUAGCCAUGCAAGCGUGCCGCGAGUGCCUCAUUUGCAUUUGUGCCCCAAUUUUCCAUUCAAAACUGCAUGCCAAUUCUCAACUGCCAUUUCACGUCGGACCUUUUAUUCUGCUCAACAAAUUAUACCACGCUCACCACAACCACUUUAUACGACUACUAAAAAAUCCCCGCAACAACCCACGCUUACAUUUUCCUUCACAAUCUCACUCCAAGGAACAUCAACCUCUUCCCCACAAUGCCAUGUUACAAUCCUACCUCAUUACAAAUGUCACAAUGUGCUCCUGCAACUCUACAACUGUCUCAACUGCCACAUACUCAUCCUACACUCACCACAGCCUUGAGGGACACUGAGGAGACAAAGUUCGGUAUAUUUUGGGGCAUAACUUGAAGCAAGAACGUGUGCUGGAGCUCGUUUAAGGACCUACAGGUAGUGCAGGGAUUUCCCUAAAAUCAUACAUUUGAAUAUCAUGUAUAUGGAAAGACCAGCGCACGUUCGGGUCCAGAGAGCACCUCCAAAAACCAUGGCUCCAUGUAAAGGUUGGAGCUGUUACUCGUGGUCCUGUUAGCGAGCGACUGAGCCGUUUUUCACCUUCGGGGCCUGGCGGGGCAUUGCUAUGACCACGACGGACCAAUAGGGAAGCUCAAUUUUAUUAAGAGACUCUUUUUAUCCGAUGUUUGGCUCCUCCCCUCAUCCGUGGCUCAUAAACGGAAUGGACGUGGCUCAUUUCGAGAGAAUAUCGCCAGGUCGCAGCAGUAUCAAUGGGGACACAGCUGGAGAGUAUCUCCGGGGACAGAGCUGAGCUGAAGACGCUGUCGUGGCAGUUUUGGCCACAUUAAGACAGAAAACCCUGCAGUUCAAUUUAAGCUGUUUAUUCAGUAGUGAAUAUCAGACAGAAUCGUGUGAGGAAGCCUAGCCUGGAGCAAUAUCUUAGGCAGAAACUUAACUUUUACAUAGGAUAUAGC